RNAcentral lists this ribosomal RNA (481 nucleotides) under Starmerella sp. RNAcentral's name for it is "partial large subunit ribosomal RNA". The record is from RNAcentral. Lineage: Eukaryota; Fungi; Ascomycota; Dipodascomycetes; Dipodascales; Trichomonascaceae.
AGCGGAGGAAAAGAAACCAACAGGGAUUGCCUCAGUAAUGGCGAAUGAACAGGCAAAAGCUCAGAUUUGAAACCCUCGGGAUUGUAGUCUGAAGACCUAGAUUUGGACGCUGACCAAGUCUCCUGGAACGGAGCGCCAUGGAGGGUGACAGCCCCGUAGCAGCACCAUUGWAAAUCUGGGUCAACGAGUCGAGUUGUUUGGGAAUGCAGCUCUAAGUGGGUGGUAUGCUCCAUCUAAGGCUAAAUAUUGGCGAGAGACCGAUAGCGAACAAGUACUGUGAAGGAAAGAUGAAAAGAACUUUGAAAAGAGAGUGAAAUAGUACGUGAAAUUGUUGAAAUGGAAGGCAAUGAGGCGCGAUUGAAGCGGACCGYGGGGGCAGGACAAAAGCGCAGGCCGCCUCGGCAUUGCCUGCGUGCAUACUGCCACCUGGGCUACCGGUUCUAACAACGCCUUAUUGCACCCGUCUUGAACCACGGACCAA